Molecule: ribosomal RNA, 460 nt
Filed under: uncultured bacterium
Lineage: Bacteria
Description: partial 16S ribosomal RNA
Rfam family: Bacterial small subunit ribosomal RNA
Source: RNAcentral
CCUACGGGUGGCAGCAGUGAGGAAUAUUGGUCAAUGGACGAGAGUCUGAACCAGCCAAGUAGCGUGAAGGCUGACUGCCCUAUGGGUUGUAAACUUCUUUUAUAUGGGAAUAAAAUGUUCCACGUGUGGGAUUUUGUAUGUACCAUAUGAAUAAGGAUCGGCUAACUCCGUGCCCGCAGCCGCGGUAAUACGGAGGAUCCGAGCGUUAUCCGGAUUUAUUGGGUUUCACGGGGGCGUAGGUGGAUUGUUAAAUCAGUUGGGAAAGUUUGCGGCUCAAACGUAAAAUUGCAGUUGAAACUGGCAGUCUUGAGUACAGUAGAGGUGGGCGGAAUUCGUGGUGUAGCGGUGAAAUGCUUAGAUAUCACGAAGAACUCCGAUUGCGAAGGCAGCUCACUGGACUGCAACUGACACUGAGGCUCGAAAGUGUGGGUAUCAAACAGGAUUAGAUACCCUUGUAGUC